UCAACUUUAUUUAUAACUAAUAUAGGACAAUGCUGUUGAUAAAACAAAUACUCCAUCCCAGGACUUUUCAUUUUCCAAAUAAUUAAUAUUACCAAUAAUUGAUUAGUUCCAGUUAGACGGGUUCAAACAGAAAGAUUUGAAAGCAGAGAAAACUGUGAUAGCUAUAUCUUAUAAUCGGCAUGACUUUAUCAGAUGACAAUACUAAUACAAAAAUAAGUCUUGCGCAUAGUUAUAUACUUUAAUUCAGUCACGGACCCAUGAUAUCACGGGUGUGUUCUAGUAUAUAUAUAAAAUGAGGAAAUAGAUAUAUAAAUUAAGGUGAAAGAUAUAUAAAGUGAGAUGAUAAAGUGAGAUGAUAGAUAUACAAAUUGUGGUGACAGAUACACAGUGUGGUGCUAUAUGUAUAAAGUGAGGUGAUAGAGAUAUAAAAUGUAGUGGUAGAUGUACAGUGUGGUGAUAGAUAUAUUAAAUAAGGUGAUAUAAAAUGAGGUGGUAUAUUAAUAAAAUGAGGUCUUACUUAUAUAGACUGAGAUGAUAGAUAUACAAAGUAUGGUGACAUAUAUACAGGGUGGUGAUAGAUAUACAAAGUGUUGUGACAUAUGAUCAGUUAGGUGAUAGAUGUAUAAGGUGUUAUGAUAGAUAUAUAAAGUGUGAUGAUAGAUAUAUAAAGUGUGAUGAUAGAUAUAUAAAGUGUGGUGAUAGAUACAUAAAGUGUUGUGACAUAUGAUGAGUUAGGUGAUAGAUGUAUAUAGUGUGGUGUGGUGAUAGAUAUAUACAGUGUGUUGAUAGAUAUAUAAAGUAAGGUGAUUAAUGAUAGAGUGAUACUAGAUUAUGCCACUGUCCCAGAUUAGGGGAGGGUUGGGAUCCCGCUCACAUGUUUAACACCGCCACAUUAUAUAUGUAUGUGCCUGUCCCAAGUCAGGAGCCUGUAAUUCAGUGGUUGUUGUUUGUUUAUGUGUUACAUAUUUGUUUUUCUUUUAUUUUUUUCUAACAUGAAUAAGACCAUUAGUUUUCUCGUUUAAAUUGUCUUAUCGGGGACUUUUAUAGCUGACUAUGGGGUAUCGGGUUUGCUCAUUGUUGAAGGACGUAUGGUGACCUAUAGUUGUUAAUGUUUGUGUCAUUUUGGUCUUUUUGUUGGUAGUUGUCAGUUGUCUCAUUGGCAAUCAUACCACAUCUUCUUUUUUAAAUAUAGAGUGUGAUGAUUGAUGAUACAGAGUGGUGAUAGAUAUAUACAGAGAGGUGAAAACUGAUACAGAGUGAUAAUAGAUAUAUACAAUGUUGUGAUUGAUGAUACAGAGUGGUGAAGGAUGAUACACAGUGGUGAUACAUAUAAACAAUAUGGUGACUGAUGAUACAGAGUGGUGAUAGAUACAUACAGAGAGGUGAUAGCUAUAUACAGUGUGGUAAUUGGUGAUACAGAGUGGGGAUAGAUGUCUAGUGUGGUGAUACAUAUAAACAAUAUGGUGACUGAUGAUACAGAGUGGUGAAAGAUAUAUACACUAUGACGAUUGAUGAUACAGAGUGGUGAUAGAUACAUACAGAGAGGUGAUAGCUAUAUACAGUAUGGUAAUUGGUGAUAACGAGUUGGGAUAGAUGUCUAGUGUGGUGAUACUGAUAGAGAUAAACAAUAUGGUGACUGAUGAUACAGAGUGGUGAAAGAUAUAUACACUAUGACAAUUGAUGAUACAGAGUGGUGAUAGAUAUAUACAGUAAGGUGAUUAAUUAUACAGAGUGGUGAUAGAUAUGUAGAGUGUGGUCAUAGAUAUCUAUUCCUCAAUUUGGUGUCCUACAGAUACAGUCCUACAUAUAUCGCUAGGCUGUAUUUAUAUACUAUACAGAUAUCAGUCAUGUGGUGUGCUUUAAUAUGUUCUGUUUGUUUUUCAAAUAUCUCUAUAUAGCAAUAAGAAUCCCACCCAUUUUCUGAAAAGAUACACACACAAACACCAGUCUUUUCUACGAUGACAAUAAUAGUUUUCAAAAUUGAAAUGUGUAUGAUUGUGCAACAUAAUCAACCAUACUGAAAAACAAAUAGUUACAAUGAUAGGUGCCGAACUGAAUCACUUUUAGUUUUCAGCAAACAUACACAGAUUGCUG
This 2094-nucleotide long non-coding RNA is filed under the name Mytilus galloprovincialis (Mediterranean mussel). The record is from RNAcentral. Lineage: Eukaryota; Metazoa; Mollusca; Bivalvia; Mytilida; Mytilidae.